This 252-nucleotide ribosomal RNA is filed under the name uncultured bacterium. Its description in RNAcentral is "partial 16S ribosomal RNA". It matches the Rfam family "Bacterial small subunit ribosomal RNA", at positions 524 to 776 of the family's 1533-position model. The record is from RNAcentral.
UACGUAGGGGGCAAGCGUUGUCCGGAUUUAUUGGGCGUAAAGAGCUCGUAGGCGGUUUGUCGCGUCUGCUGUGAAAACCCGAGGCUCAACCUCGGGCCUGCAGUGGGUACGGGCAGACUAGAGUGCGGUAGGGGAGAUUGGAAUUCCUGGUGUAGCGGUGGAAUGCGCAGAUAUCAGGAGGAACACCAAGGGCGAAGGCAGAUCUCUGGGCCGUAACUGACGCUGAGGAGCAAAGCAUGGGGAGCGAACAGG